CGAGGGGUAGAAGGAGCUUGCUCCUUUGAGACCGGCGCACGGGUGCGUAACGCGUAUGCAAUCUACCUUUCACAGAGGGAUAGCCCAGAGAAAUUUGGAUUAAUACCUCAUAGUAUAGCAGUUUCGCAUGAAACCACUAUUAAAGUCACAACGGUGAAAGAUGAGCAUGCGUCCCAUUAGCUAGUUGGUAAGGUAACGGCUUACCAAGGCAACGAUGGGUAGGGGUCCUGAGAGGGAGAUCCCCCACACUGGUACUGAGACACGGACCAGACUCCUACGGGAGGCAGCAGUGAGGAAUAUUGGACAAUGGGCGCAAGCCUGAUCCAGCCAUGCCGCGUGCAGGAUGACGGUCCUAUGGAUUGUAAACUGCUUUUGUACAGGAAGAAACACCUCUACGUGUAGAGACUUGACGGUACUGUAAGAAUAAGGAUCGGCUAACUCCGUGCCAGCAGCCGCGGUAAUACGGAGGAUCCAAGCGUUAUCCGGAAUCAUUGGGUUUAAAGGGUCCGUAGGCGGUUUAGUAAGUCAGUGGUGAAAGCCCAUCGCUCAACGGUGGAACGGCCAUUGAUACUGCUAGACUUGAAUUAUUAGGAAGUAACUAGAAUAUGUAGUGUAGCGGUGAAAUGCUUAGAGAUUACAUGGAAUACCAAUUGCGAAGGCAGGUUACUACUAAUUGAUUGACGCUGAUGGACGAAAGCGUGGGUAGCGAACAGGAUUAGAUACCCUGGUAGUCCACGCCGUANACGAUGGAUACUAGCUGUUGGGCGCAAGUUCANUGGCUAAGCGAAAGUGAUAAGUAUCCCACCUGGGGAGUACGUUCGCAAGAAUGAAACU
This 834-nucleotide ribosomal RNA is filed under the name uncultured bacterium. RNAcentral describes it as "bacterial SSU rRNA". It matches the Rfam family "Bacterial small subunit ribosomal RNA", at positions 63 to 901 of the family's 1533-position model. The record is from RNAcentral.